GCUGGUAGUUAUGGCGUGAAGGUCACACCCGUUCCCAUCCCGAACACGGUAGUUAAGCUUCUCUGCGCCAAUGGUAGUUGGGGGCUUCCCCCUGCGAGAGUAGGUCGCUGCCGGGC
Molecule: ribosomal RNA, 116 nt
Filed under: Listeria monocytogenes
Lineage: Bacteria; Bacillati; Bacillota; Bacilli; Caryophanales; Listeriaceae
Source: RNAcentral